UUGAUCCAACCAAAUCAAUUAUAGCUUGGCAAGUAUUGGUCGGAGUGCAAGCCCAAAGCACUAACGAUAACAUUUUAAGUUUAGGAUUUUUAACGCUAAAACCCCUCAAGUAAGUUUCAUUCGGACAUAAACCCCUCAAGUAAGUUUGUAACGUAAAACCCCCCAAGUCUGUUUUCUUUAAUGUAUUAGCCCUUCCGUCUACAGUGACGUCAAAAGCUGAGUUUUUGUCGUUAAGUUUAACCGCUGCGUUUUAGGGAUUUAAAAAAACGUCACGUGUUUCAUAUGUUCUUCUUUUCAAACCAAAAAUCCCUAAAUCGAAAAAUUAGGGUUCAUCCAAGUUCCUUUAGAUCUUCCUUCUUCUUCACUUAUUCGUUGUUCAGAGUGAAUGAGUUGAUAGAGCUGAAUUUGAUUUCUUGGCCAACAAGCAAUGGUAGAAAAAGAGCAUGGAAAAAGACUUGUUUCAUAUGAAGAAAGACAUGUGAGAUUAUUGGUGUCUAAGAGUAUUAAAGCAAUUUUUAGAAUUUUGGUGUCUUUUGAUCAUUCAGUUGUCGUUAAUUCUUGCUGUCUUUUGAUCAAAUUAUUGUCCUUAGUUGUUGUUGUUAUUUGAAAAAAUGUUAUUGGUGAAUUAUGCUUCUUGACAGUCAUCUGGGGUUGCUUAAUUGUUUAGAUUAUGUCAUUUUAAGAGACGAAUGUUGUCGGUGCUUUAAAGAUAGAAAACAGAGAAUCAUAAUAACAUCAAAAGAAAUAUGGUUUUACUAAGAACCAUGUGUUUACAUGAAUUUUCAUAGUAGGGAUGUUUUAUAAAGACCUGAAAAAAAAAGAUACUUUUCUGUGAGUGUUUGUCGUGUCUCAUGAGGUCUGGGCUGGAGUUGGGCUGGUUCGUCAAAGCCUAGAUAGUGGAAGGCGUCUUUACUAAAGCAGGAACAGGGUUUCAGGUUUAUCUGUGAAACGAACGCCAAGGCCUGUUUAGUGAAACGACGUUGUAUUGAUUAAAUGAAGAUAUUUAUUAUAUCUUCAUCUUCCUCAUGAAAAUAGAGGUUGUUACGAGUUUGUUACGACGAGCAGAGCCAAAGGAGAAUCACAGAGAGAAAGAGUCUUAUCUUUGAGGUGAUCACGACGGAGGAGGUGGAGAAGCUGAUCGCACUUCAUCUCAUCAAGGAAUCUGAUUACCUGGAGUGUAUUUCAGAGGUAGUCUCUAUACUAUCAUCUUGGUGUGAUCCUCGUUAGAUUGUGGUAGAGAUACCAAGAUUUUGUAUGUGAUUCUAAGUGGCUAGUGAUUGCUUGAGAGUUUUGAUCUCUCCCCAGACAGUAGUAGUCUGGGUAAACAAACCGUGUGUGUUGAUUGCGUUUAUCUUUU
This is a long non-coding RNA of Raphanus sativus (radish), 1357 nucleotides long. RefSeq lists it as uncharacterized. NCBI's taxonomy places the organism in Eukaryota, Viridiplantae, Streptophyta, Magnoliopsida, Brassicales, Brassicaceae. The record is from RefSeq and is a predicted model, not a curated record. The transcript has 2 exons.